Salvia miltiorrhiza (redroot sage) is the source of this 509-nucleotide long non-coding RNA. RefSeq lists it as uncharacterized. The record is from RefSeq and is a predicted model, not a curated record. The transcript is spliced from 3 exons. Lineage: Eukaryota; Viridiplantae; Streptophyta; Magnoliopsida; Lamiales; Lamiaceae.
UAUACUAUGCUACUGUAGUUUAUUGCCAUGAUAGAUUUAUUUUCUGCUUUAACCACAAAAAAAGGCCUGCACGAUAAUAAAUGCCUUGGCUAUUUACGACCUGCACAUAAUCAUAUGAUGAUAUUCUUCACAUUUGAUCUAAUAUUUACCAUUUUUCUUUUCUAUUCAUGAAUCAUGGGAACUAUUGUUUCUGGUAGUCAUUUAUGUACCAACAGAUCAAUAUGUUAAAUUGUGUGUCUCCAUUGUGUGCAGGGUUUUGAUGUUAGGCUGGUCGAUGUGAAUAGGACGUGUAAAGUUACAAAGGGUGGACAAGUUAUCAAAUACACUGCAAUGUUAGCUUGUGGGAACUACAAUGGUGUUAUUGGUUUUGCUAAAGCAAAGGCUCCUGCAGUUCCGCUUGCUCUUCAAAAGGCAUAUGAGAAGUGCUUUCAGAAUCUGCACUAUGUAGAGAGGCAUGAGGAUCAUACAAUUGCACAUGCAAUUCAGACAUCGUAUAAAAAGACUAAGGU